AGUGAACGCUGGCGGUAGGCCUAACACAUGCAAGUCGAACGGCAGCACAGUAAGAGCUUGCUCUUACGGGUGGCGAGUGGCGGACGGGUGAGGAAUACAUCGGAAUCUACUUUUUCGUGGGGGAUAACGUAGGGAAACUUACGCUAAUACCGCAUACGACCUACGGGUGAAAGCAGGGGAUCUUCGGACCUUGCGCGAUUGAAUGAGCCGAUGUCGGGUUAGCUAGUUGGCGGGGUAAAGGCCCACCAAGGCGAAGAUCCGUAGCUGGUCUGAGAGGAUGAUCGGCCACACUGGAACUGGGACACGGUCCAGACUCCUAAGGGAGGCAGCAGUGGGGAAUAUUGGACAAUGGGCGCAAGCCUGAUCCAGCCAUACCGCGUGGGUGAAGAAGGCCUUCGGGUUGUAAAGCCCUUUUGUUGGGAAAGAAAAUCAGCAGGUUAAUACCCCGCUGCUCUGACGGUACCCAAAGAAUAAGCACCGGCUAACUUCGUG
This 492-nucleotide ribosomal RNA is filed under the name uncultured bacterium. Its description in RNAcentral is "partial 16S ribosomal RNA". It matches the Rfam family "Bacterial small subunit ribosomal RNA", at positions 29 to 507 of the family's 1533-position model. The record is from RNAcentral.